CCUACGGGUGGCAGCAGUGGGGAAUAUUGGACAAUGGGCGAAAGCCUGAUCCAGCCAUGCCGCGUGUGUGAAGAAGGCCUUCGGGUUGUAAAGCACUUUCAGUGGGGAAGAAAGCCUUGGGGCUAAUACCCUCGAGGAAGGACAUCACCCACAGAAGAAGCACCGGCUAACUCCGUGCCAGCAGCCGCGGUAAUACGGAGGGUGCGAGCGUUAAUCGGAAUUACUGGGCGUAAAGCGCGCGUAGGCGGUCUGAUAAGCCGGUUGUGAAAGCCCCGGGCUCAACCUGGGAACGGCAUCCGGAACUGUUAGGCUAGAGUGCAGGAGAGGAAGGUAGAAUUCCCGGUGUAGCGGUGAAAUGCGUAGAGAUCGGGAGGAAUACCAGUGGCGAAGGCGGCCUUCUGGACUGACACUGACGCUGAGGUGCGAAAGCGUGGGUAGCAAACAGGAUUAGAUACCCCAGUAGC
RNAcentral lists this ribosomal RNA (464 nucleotides) under Vreelandella stevensii. RNAcentral's name for it is "partial 16S ribosomal RNA". It matches the Rfam family "Bacterial small subunit ribosomal RNA", at positions 338 to 794 of the family's 1533-position model. Lineage: Bacteria; Pseudomonadati; Pseudomonadota; Gammaproteobacteria; Oceanospirillales; Halomonadaceae. The record is from RNAcentral.